This 379-nucleotide ribosomal RNA is filed under the name uncultured eukaryote. Its description in RNAcentral is "partial 18S ribosomal RNA". It matches the Rfam family "Eukaryotic small subunit ribosomal RNA", at positions 592 to 976 of the family's 1831-position model. The record is from RNAcentral.
CAAUAGCGUAUAUUUAAGUUGUUGCAGUUAAAAAGCUCGUAGUUGGAUUUCGGAUGGGAUUUGCCGGUCCGUCGUUACGAUGUGUACUGGCCAGUCCUAUCUUGUUGUCGGGGACUAGCUCCUUGGAUUCACUUCCUGGGACUAGGAGCUGACGAGGUUACUUUGAGUAAAUUAGAGUGUUCAAAGCAAGCCUACGCUCUGAAUACAUUAGCAUGGAAUAACACGAUAGGACUCUGGCUUAUCUUGUUGGUCUGUGAGACCAGAGUAAUGAUUAAGAGGGACAGUCGGGGACAUUCGUAUUUCAUUGUCAGAGGUGAAAUUCUUGGAUUUAUGAAAGACGAACUUCUGCGAAAGCAUUUGUCAAGGAUGUUUUCAUUAA